UACGUAGGUGGCAAGCGUUAUCCGGAAUUAUUGGGCGUAAAGAGCGCGCAGGUGGUUAAUUAAGUCUGAUGUGAAAGCCCACGGCUUAACCGUGGAGGGUCAUUGGGAACUGGUUGACUUGAGUGCAGAAGAGGGAAGUGGAAUUCCAUGUGUAGCGGUGAAAUGCGUAGAGAUAUGGAGGAACACCAGUGGCGAAGGCGGCUUCCUGGUCUGCAACUGACACUGAGGCGCGAAAGCGUGGGGAGCAAACAGG
RNAcentral lists this ribosomal RNA (253 nucleotides) under uncultured bacterium. Its description in RNAcentral is "partial 16S ribosomal RNA". It matches the Rfam family "Bacterial small subunit ribosomal RNA", at positions 524 to 776 of the family's 1533-position model. The record is from RNAcentral.